GGAAGGAGUGCGGAGAGAGAAAGGAGGAGAGACGCAUGUCUGGGGAGAGGAGCCUUCAUCGGAGAGCGGGGGUUUGCGUAGGCGCCCCCCUGUAAGCUGACCUCUUAGUCUCCGCAUCCCCACAGCCUGCGGCUGUCUGAGACGUCGUCUGCUCUGGGCUCGACUUGGAGCAGGAAGUUUGGGAACUGAGAGGCACAGACAUAGAUGAGAUGCGGGGAGCGCAUUUGAAGACAUCUACAUCCCAUCAGAUGAGAGAGCCCUCAUCCAUCAUAAUCCGUGUUCCCUGGAAGGAGGCGUGUCCAGCAUUUCCUAUUCCAGCCAGGCCCCUUGUCAGCGUGUGAGACAUUGUCAAGAAUGCCCCCCACUCCUUGGAAGGAGAGUCUUUGGUAGUCUGGCCUGAAGGCUCUGGACUGAGUGAGACAAAUAGGUUGCUAAUAAUGUCUGUAAACUCUGGACCCCAUUUCCCGACAUUAAAAACUUCAUCUAAAAAGUCUGAGUGAUAUUUACAAAUAGGAGCCUGCCCCCUUGUCCCCAGCUCUUUUUAGUCUGUGACAAAUAGGUCGUUGUACACAGUGAGGACACAUGGGACUGUGCACCUUCCUCUGCCGCAUUCCUCGAUCUGCCAGCCUUUCGCUGUCCCUCCACACCCCUGCUCGUCUAGAAGCACACACUGCACCACAGACCUGUGUGCGCCCGUGUGCACCCACGUGCACACACCGAAGGCUCAAAGGUGGGAAGUCACCAAAGCAGACAGCGGAACCAGGUCUUA
Molecule: long non-coding RNA, 769 nt
Filed under: Equus caballus (horse)
Lineage: Eukaryota; Metazoa; Chordata; Mammalia; Perissodactyla; Equidae
Description: lncRNA (ENSECAG00000038164.3)
Source: RNAcentral